RNAcentral lists this ribosomal RNA (150 nucleotides) under Myxobolus groenlandicus. RNAcentral describes it as "5.8S ribosomal RNA". It matches the Rfam family "5.8S ribosomal RNA". From Rfam's summary of the family: 5.8S ribosomal RNA (5.8S rRNA) is a component of the large subunit of the eukaryotic ribosome. It is transcribed by RNA polymerase I as part of the 45S precursor that also contains 18S and 28S rRNA. Lineage: Eukaryota; Metazoa; Cnidaria; Myxozoa; Bivalvulida; Myxobolidae. The record is from RNAcentral.
UGAAAAUGGCGCCGGUGGAUCACUUGGCUCGGAGAUCGAUGAAGAACGUGGCAAAAUGCGAUAUGUGAUGCGAUUCGCAGGCCUAGUGAGUCAUCGAGUUUUUGAACGCAAAUGGCGGUGCAGUUCUGCACCAUGUCCGCUCGAGUGGGU